RNAcentral lists this transfer RNA (76 nucleotides) under Pseudomonadota bacterium. RNAcentral describes it as "tRNA-Lys". It matches the Rfam family "tRNA". Rfam says of the family: Transfer RNA (tRNA) molecules are approximately 80 nucleotides in length. Their secondary structure includes four short double-helical elements and three loops (D, anti-codon, and T loops). The record is from RNAcentral. Lineage: Bacteria; Pseudomonadati; Pseudomonadota.
GGGCGCAUAGCUCAGUUGGUAGAGCAGCUGACUCUUAAUCAGCGGGUCGUAGGUUCGAUUCCUACUGCGCCCACCA